Molecule: ribosomal RNA, 539 nt
Filed under: uncultured bacterium
Lineage: Bacteria
Description: bacterial SSU rRNA
Rfam family: Bacterial small subunit ribosomal RNA
Source: RNAcentral
AAUAGAUACCCUGGUAGUCCACGCCGUAAACGAUGGAUACUAGCUGUUGGAGGUAUCGACCCCUUCAGUAGCGAAGCUAACGCGUUAAGUAUCCCGCCUGUGGAGUACGGUCGCAAGACUAAAACAUAAAGGAAUUGACGGGGACCCGCACAAGCGGUGGAUCGUGUCCUUUAAUUCGAUGCUAAACGAAGAACCUUACCAGGGUUUGACAUCCCUUGAAUUAAUCCGAAAGGAUUGAGUGCUUUAUUGAACAAGGUGACAGGUGAUGCAUGGCCGUCGUCAGCUCGUGUCGUGAGAUGUUUGGUUAAGUCCAUCAACGAGCGCAACCCUUGCAAGUAGUUGUAUUUUUCUACUUGGACUGCCCCGGUAACGGGGAGGAAGGAGGGGAUGAUGUCAGGUCAGUAUUUCCCUUACGUCCUGGGCUAGAAACACGAUACAAUGGCUAGUACAAUGCGCAGCGAAGCCGCGAGGUGAAGCAAAUCGCAUCAAAGCUAGUCCCAGUUCGGAUUGGAGGCUGAAACUCGCCUCCAUGAAGUCGG